GGUCACACCGCAGUCGCAUACGGUUGUUUCCAUAUGAACAAACUGUUUUUUUUUAAGCGGAGUGCGGUGCUGAGAAAUUCGUAAAGCUCCUUUUUGAAACCUUGUAUUUUAUGUAACGGCCGUGCGGUGCAACCAAUAUCCAAGCGGAAGGAGGUCCACACACUCCCCCGGCGCCGCCUGAGCGUGGUCGUCCUGCUCCGCACUUUAAGCACCGCCACCCCCACCAGCGCCCCCCAACCCGUGAAACAUUACGCGAAAAUCGAUUUCGACUGCAGGCGCAGGAAGAAACAGCAGAAAGUAUGUCCCACGGCGAUGUGGACCCAGAGUUAGAGAUGACAUCGCCCCACUGGAUGCAUAGGGAAGCUGAAAGUUGUCCAAGGAUGCACACAAUCUGGAGGCUAGAGCGCUGGCGGAGCAGCAUGCUUCUCCUAAUCGGACUGGCCUUGUGCGUCCUUCGGGCCCCUGGAUGCAGUGCCACGGACACGGACAUUGCGCUGGACGCCAAGGCCACGCUCAAUCACCGGAUCCAGAGCCUGGAUCUGCUGGUCUUCGUGUUCCUACUGGCACUCACAGUGCUCACUAUUUGGCUGUUCAAACAUCAUCGCGUCUCCUGGCUCCACGAGACCGGAUUGGCCGUCAUCUACGGCCUGAUUGUGGGAGCAAUUAUACGGUAUGCCGGCACCUCCGCCACUUUGGUUCACAUGCAGGUGGAGCCUCAAGGAGUUCCAACGUACAGCGAUAAAUUGCCGCCUGAUACACUUUGGUUUAGGUACCCUGUUAACCAAACAAAUAGCACAAAGCUACCCGAGGGAAUUAAGACAUAUGCCUACGUGUUUCGCGGACAGGUACACGAUGUGGAUGAAAAUGAAAUCGAUCUUAAGGCUACGUUCGAUCCGGAGGUCUUUUUCAAUAUCAUCCUGCCCCCAAUUAUAUUUUAUGCUGGCUAUAGUUUGAAAAAGAAAUACUUCUUUCGCAAUCUGGGUGCCAUACUUACGUUUGCCAUUGUGGGCACGACAUUGUCGGCCUUCCUGAUCGGAGGCUUCAUGUACGGCUGUGUGAAACUGAUGCCAAAUUACUUGAGUAGCAGUUUCUCAUUCCUGGACACCUUAUACUUUGGAGCCCUGAUAUCGCCCACAGAUCCGCUCACCAUUCUAGCCAUAUUUAACGAUCUUCGGGUCGACGUAAACUUAUAUGCGCUAGUCUUGGGCGAAUCUGUGCUCAACGAUGCCGUGGCCAUUGUCCUCAGUGGAGCCAUUCAAAAUUAUGGUGAACACUAUUCCGAUACUGGGGAAUUUGAAACUACAGCUUUUCUACGCUCGUUAAGCGACUUCUUCUCUAUCUUCUUACUAUCUCUGAUGAUUGGCGCGGCCAUGGGAUGCUUGACAGCAUUGAUGACCAAAUUUACUCGGGUUCGAGACUUUCCUUUACUAGAGUCCGCGCUCUUCGUGCUCAUGAGCUACAGCACCUUCCUGCUGGCUGAGGCAACAGAACUUACAGGAGUGGUGGCCGUGCUCUUCUGUGGCAUCUGCCAGGCUCACUACACGUACAACAACUUAUCGGAGGAUUCCCGCCAAAGGACAAAACAGAUAUUCGAGCUCCUGAACUUUCUGGCAGAGAACUUUAUCUUUUCCUAUAUUGGCGUAUCGAUGUUCACCUUUCCCAAGCAUCAUUUUGACGCUGGGUUUAUUAUAACAGCUUUUAUUUGCGCUGCCAUAGGAAGGGCCGUGAAUGUGUAUCCCUUGUCGUGGCUGCUGAACAUUAGGCGCAAGCCGAAGAUUUCAUCAAACUUUCAGCAUAUGCUGUUCUUUGCUGGACUUCGUGGCGCCAUGUCCUUUGCCUUGGCCAUCCGAAAUACAGUGUCGGAUGCACGACAGACUAUGCUGACUGCCACAUCGCUGAUUGUCAUCUUUACGGUUGUAAUUCAGGGUGGGGCUGCCAAUUUCCUGCUGAAUUGGUUGAAAAUACCCGUUGGCGUGGACGAUGAGACUGAACAACUAAAUAACUAUCAAGUACACAGUGUUUACAAUUCAAUGGACAAUUCACAUCCGCAGACGUCUGAUGGUUAUUUGCAGGAUGUGGAGGGCGGUGGGGUAGGUCGCGGAAAGGUGCGCUUGUCCGGUGGAACAGAUUCUAACUUGGACACGUCAGUGGACGGUCCGAAUGGCAGUUUGGGCGGAGCAAGCAGCGGUCGUCGUCGCAACAGUCACGAGAAGGCCAUUCUGGCAAGGAUCUGGGGAAACUUCGAUACCAAGUACAUGAAGCCCUUGCUGACGCACUCGCGACCCACUUUGCUGGAGACACUGCCCGUUUGCUGCAACCCCAUUGCCAGGCUGCUUACCACCACGCAGCAGCUAACGCAGGAUGGUAGCGAGUUCAGGCGCGUGGACUCGGACUCGGACAUUUGCAUAGACAAUGAUACCGGGAACGGUCUUAGCCAGGAUGCAACCGGAGCGGUUCCGGGUUCGGGUGUGGGCGUGGGGCGGCGGAACUCGCUGAGUCGCUCUGUUCAAUUGAACGAAGCCCAUCACCUAGCAAAUGAAAUCAGCCUGGUUACUAAUAAUUUCAUGUAAUCGAAAGAUCGGGCCAUCUAUCUUUGUAUUUGAUUUAUUUGUUAUUUAUAUAUACAUUUUUUUGUUCAAUUCUGUCUACUUUUCCUUGGUAAACCCACUGUUGAAACGAAGCACAGACGGAGACCCAGACAUGAUUAACUUAGAAACGAGUCAGUGAAAUUGAUAUCCGAUUAACCAAAGCUUCUUAGAGCACAGCAGUCAGGAAUGUUCGUUUAUAUUGUUCACUUUUAAUUUCUGUAUUUUUCCUCAUAAUCUAAUUUCUUAGAUUCUAACACGCGACUAACCAUGUUGGAGGCGAUCAUCGAAAUGCUUACAUAUAAGUUCAAUUAGUGUUUAGUUUUCUUUUGUUAUUUAUUGAAUUGGUCUCAUUUGAAAUCGAAAAUGUGAAAAAUGUACAAAUUAGAAUAUUACUUUUCAGUUUCUCCUUGUUUAUGAUAUGUGAUUCGGAACUCUAGUAAUCUAGUAAUAAACAUAAAUUUAAUAUCAAGCUUAUCGACUAAUUUAAAAGUUGUUGUGCAACUAUUUAAGAUCAGUAAGGGCACUAAAGUUAUCAAAAUUAUUGUUUUCUUCGAGCUGACGUACACCAUACCAUACCGUAUAACACUAUAAAUUACAUGCAUAUAUAGCCUCUUUGAUUCUAUUAUUUUUACAACUUCGUUUUUUCUAAAUACAAUAUAAAUAUAUAUACACACAAGCCAAAUUAAAUGGCAUAGCAAAAGUUUAUACGAAUACUUAUAGACAUAUUUCCCUUCUCUUGUUUAUCCGACAUGGAAAAAUGUGCUAACAUGUAUAUUGUAAUCGCCUGAAAACCACAAACCAUAUUAUAUUCAGAUGGAGAUUCUGGAGCAUGUCCAAAGUCCGGUAUCGACGAGAAUCCGGCUCUUAGGAUUUUACGGAAAAAAGUUAUAAGGCGUCAGGCAAACAUAUUACUAUUAAAUUUUUGAUGUAUUUUACACAACAUAAACUUACAGCUUUUUCGUUCUAAGCAAGUUAGUGUAAAUAUAUCGUUUUGAAAACGGACUAAUUGUAUUCGGUUUUAUUUUUAAGUUUAAAGCAGAUAUAUUUGCUAAUCUAUUAGAUUUUCCGUAUUACCUAGAACCCCAUUUCUUACUAUAUACGCUGUAUUUAAAACAAAGCGAAGCUCUCUGAAAAUAUUAAUUGUUGUGCUGUUAAUUUUUAAGUCAAAAACGAAAUAAAUAAAAAAAAUGAA
Molecule: unclassified non-coding RNA, 3780 nt
Filed under: Drosophila yakuba
Lineage: Eukaryota; Metazoa; Arthropoda; Insecta; Diptera; Drosophilidae
Description: GE18415
Source: RNAcentral